Molecule: RNA transcript, 5217 nt
Organism: Mus musculus (house mouse)
Lineage: Eukaryota; Metazoa; Chordata; Mammalia; Rodentia; Muridae
Gene name: predicted gene 3002
Exons: 5
Source: RefSeq
GAAGAUGGGUGAUGAAAGUGGAAAGUCUAAUCAGUCAGCCGAUGACCAGUGGGAAAAAUGAGCUACAAGAUCACCUGAUCUUCAUCAGUGAGAAAGCUUUGCACAAGAGUAUACUGAUGGGAUUCGGUUUGAUGGAAAUAUACUCUCAAGAAAAAUUAAUAAAACCAGUGCUUCUUACGGACCAUCAGGAUGAAGUACCAAGUUCAAGGACAGUUCUGCAAGAACUGCUCAAAGCCAGCCAAGUGGAACAAGAAGAAAGCCAAGCAGAAGUCAUUCAUUCCCAGCACCCUCAGCACCUUUCUCCAGGACAGGGUCACUCAGCUUUGGUAGAAGAAGGGAUGACCUGAGAUAGCUGCCACAUAUUCCCUCAGAAAAGAAGCAGCCAGCAAUAUUGGGGAAAGAAUAUAGGUGUCAGGGGGCAGAAAGCAGAGUGUAAAGUGAAUAAAUAAAAAGAUAUCAAUAAAAAAUAUUUAAUUAUUUAAAAAAAUUGGACAGAAUGUAUUGUUCUAGUAACUCUACUGUGUAUACACAGGCAAUAACUUUAACACCCAGAGAGAAUAGAUGUUGUAAAGUAGGGUGCCUUUGGUAUUGACAUAAACUAGGAACAUAGCAAAGAUAAAUAAAAAAGAAAGAUGUUUGUCCCAUAGAUCCAUUAUUCUCCUCAAGUCGAAGUGUUUGUGCUCACUUUUACCAGAACUCUGGAAACCUCUGUUAAUCCAGGUCUCAGGGCUCAUCCAAAGUACAGUCCUGAACUGGCUGUGGCCAAGGGUUCCUGUGUUGUUGGCUGACCUCUGCCUCAGGCUUCAGAGGCACUGGAGGGGCAGUUUUGGCCUUCAGGUGGCAGCCAUUCCAGGUCCCCUACCAUACCAGAUAGCGAGUCUUCCACAGAUGCCUGACAUCUCAAAAAUAGAAGCUUGGGUAUUUCAAAGAUUGGGAUGCCACUCUACAGUCAUGAUGAGUUGAUUACGUGAGACCGUACAAGUUAACUAAUGUCUGUAUGACUGUUUUCUUUAUUUGAAAGUGAGUAAUGAGAUCAUCUCAGGAGUGGUUGCUAAGAAUAAAAUCACUGAUUAACAUAAAUGAUAGGACUGUACAGAGCAUGGGCUUAAUAUUCUGGGUCCAGUGCAAAUAGCUGGGAGAGUUCAAAACAAAACCAAUAAAAGCAACAGGAAUACAAACAACAACAAUUGUUUAAAACCCUUUUGAGUGCUGAGAUUACUGGCAUGUACCAACUGUGGCUAACUUUUUUUGUUUUUAUAAUUAACAACCAAACAUACAAACAAACAAACAUCCCUAUUCCAAUUCCAGCAGUUUGCAUCAGAGAGAGCUGUGUGACACUGCAUGCUGCUUCCUUUCCUCAGAUAGCUCAGGUCGUCAGUCCUAUACCAGGUCAGCUGGACCUAAGACAGUGUAGUUGAACUACUUGCUGUCACGACAUGAUUCUACAACAAUCCUUUUCUUGGUAAAAUUGAGCCUCUAUAGAGUAAGCCCCAUGUUGUUGGAACCAGGACCCUUUAGGCCAGCAAACACACAAGCCACCCUUAGUGAAAGAGAAAAGGAAAAAUCACAUUGGAAAAAAAUAUGCGCCCUAAUUGUAAGAAAAAGCCCUCAUCUUUGAAGCCAUCACCUAUCUCCCCCUGAUUUUUGAGCUCUGCAUAUUGAUAUUGUGUGGCUCAAGAAGGUAGUGAAAUUCAGAUGUUUUCUGAAAGAAGAUAUACAUGAUUUUUCACUCUUAAAUCUGUGAGGUUAGGGGGCACAGGUUCAGCAAAGCCAGCAUAAGAACACAAAAGCCAGAGAUGAUAAUGCCAAAGGGACAGCAUCCUGACCUUAUAGACACAUUAAAAUUGAGGUUUCAUCUCAAUUCAGGUCAUUGCACUCCCAGCCCUACCUUCUGAGUAUUAUAUUUGCUGUGAGUACAGUAUGACGUUACAACCUGCAACACCCUCAUUUCUCAACUUAGCAAUUCUGGAAGACAGAUAUUGGAGAAGUAAUUGCUAUGAGGCUACAAUGCAGUAAUGUACAGUCCAGGAUGACCACUACUCUCUGUUGCCCACUUAAAUUGUCUGGUUGUAUUUGAGAAUGGGAGCAUGUGCAGGAUAAUGUUUUGAAGAAGGGACAGCAAGUUUGUAAAAGAUAGGGUUGUAAACCAGAGAUUUUGUGAAACUCAUGUAUAUAUAUAUGAAAAAAUGCCCUCUGUCAAGGAAUACACCGUUAGAAAAUAUUGUCCAUGUUUUGUACAAUUAAACCUAUAGGAGAAAGAUAUUUGCCUCUGUGAGACAGGAAAACCCUGGGAAAUUGGAGUGUAUGUCACAUGAAUUGACACAGCUGGUAUAUUUACUGUUGUGAAACAUCUACUACAUCCACAGUCCCUAGAGUUUUGGGUGCCAACAAAAUCUCUUAAGCAUGUCAGAGUCCUAACCAACGUUCCCCCUAAAAAGCACAUGACAUCUAAUGAAGCAGUAGAAUUCUCCAGCUUUGGAAGGAGAGGUUGCCAAAGGGGAUCCCACGGGUCCAUGAGAGGCUCCAGGAGAGGCACCCCAGAAAAGGACCAAGCUGGGCAGAACUAGUUAACAGGUAGGUCAUGGCAGUUGCUAGUGACAUCAUCAGUAAUGCCUUCCUGGGAGAAUCUCUUGUAUCUAGGAUAGAACUAGAAUCUUCUGUGUUGUCACCUGUGUUGUGGUGACAGCAACUGCCUGUGGUUCAUCCCUUCUGUUUGCUCUGGGUUCACCAGCAGGAAUGUUUUCCUGGCUGCUCAGGCUAUUUCAGAAAGAGAAUGGCGAUGAAGGAGUGACCAGACCAACAGAGAAGGAAGAGGGAAUCCUUUCUCAUGAAAAAGGAAGAAGGAAAUGGUUAUGGAGAAGGCACAGUGAGUCCUGGGCAGAGUUGGGGAAAUUCCUGGUAGAGGUAGGCUUGAGCUGGGACUUCCAGGAGUAGGUCUUACAAGCUGAAGCCUUGGACUUUGUCAAUGUCAGACAAAGAGUCAAGAAUUUCUGAUGAUUAGUUUGACAGAGCCAGGAAUUGACAAACCUGCAGCUACUUUUCUGGGAGCUAUUUAAUUUCAUUUUGAGUGGCAAAAAAUGUCAGGAGUGGGCACUAUGAGAAUAACAGUGUGUCCUUUCAUGGAAGGGAGUUGAAGCACUUCAUCUUCCAGAUUACUGUAGGUAACUUGAGUCUCUGAUGAAAAGAACAGAGAAGGAUGCUCCCCUGGUCAUGUCAUGUGGUGAGGACUCAGACACUUUGGAUUUGAAGACACACGAUUAAUUAGUGCUUGAUAGUGCUAAGCACUAUGAACUUCAGGAUUUCCCUGCGUCCCAUCUGAUAUGACCUGACAAUGUUCCCCAUAUCUUUAUGUCUGAGGCAGCUUAUACAUUUCAAGGCAACCGGGCCUGUAACAGGGAGUGUGGCAUAUGUCUGACAAUGGUGGUUAGGAAGAGGAACAUAGCUUAGCAAACCAGCUGGAAGAUAGCUUUUCUGCUCUUUUAGGAAUUCACUGUCUUUAUCUUUUCUCUCCCUCCAUCUUCUUCUUGGGACUCAGAAUGGUCUCCCCUGCCCCUGGGCCAUCAAGUAUGCAAAUUCUUUUGUGUUUACCUAUCUGCAGGGUCUGCUAGAAAUACUUCAACCCAAAAUUCCAAAAUGACUAAGAAGAGAUCAAAAAUAAAUGAACUAGAAGAACUGAAAUUGGAUAUGAGGAAGAUCAGCAAUGACAUGGAGGAAAUGUGUGGAAUCCUGAACCUUUACAUGUAUGAGGAUUUGAACUACAGGAUGAACACUGAAUUCAACAUCAUUAAAUCACAACAUGAGAAGACAAUGUUGGAUAUGAAUAAAAUGAUCCAGUCCAUAAUUGGUUCCAUGCAGUACUCCAAGGAACUGAUAGAAGAUAACUAUUCCUACAGCAUUAAGGAGGACCACCUCCUCCGUGAGUGCACUCAACUCCACGAAAACGUAAGGAUAUUACUGAAUGAGAACAGAAGGCUGCUGGUGGAGCAGGCUGGCCACAAGUGUCCUGUGGGGAAGAAAAGAGGUUCUCUGAGGAGGCCAGCAAGAACAUCUGUGUCCCAAGUGCCAAGGAACACCAGUGUGAAAUAGUCCAGCAGAAAGCAGAACAUGGCACAGACCAGGACAUGAUCUCCCUCAAAGAGAAGUGCUGGAGGAAGAGCACUGAGUGUGCACAGGAAAUACACCACUGUUGCCUCUCAUCCCUAAUAACCAUGGCUGUAAUGGGCUGUAUGCUCCUCCUUUAUUUUGUUUCUUUGGUAUGAACAGGCCUUAAUUUCAUCUAGCCUCUGGCCCAGGAAGAGUGCACAUUUAAAGGGACUCAGAGAAAUGCUGAGACACAUCAAGAGCUGCUGGGCAUCCAGGAAGAAUCUGAGUGCAAAUUUCUCUUUUCCUGAUGGGUCAUCAUCAAUAAUUACAUGGAGAUCAGUCAACAAAAUUGUAAAUCCUUGGAUCCAAGUUUACAACAUGUGUUCUGCUUUGACUUGGGAGGCCAUAUCCUUCAGACCCACACUCCAAAAGGAGAGUGUUGCUUAAAUUUCUCCUGCAAAGUUUGCUACCUCCAGGAACUGCUUUUCUACUAAGUUGCCAAGGACAGCCACAGGCUGUAAGGCUGUGCUACAAAAUGAGCAGACUAAGAAUUUUGCUGUGCACAAUUUUUGUGGUUUGAUUUUGGUUUGAGUUUUGAUUAGUUUAGGUAUUUGGUUUUUCUUGUUUUCAUUCAAAGUUUUGUUAUUUAUUGGUUAUUUAUUGUUCUUUUAAGUAAUUUGAUAUUUUGAUAAGGUUAUACACAGUACAUAUUGACUGUCAGCUUUCAGUUACAAUUGAGUACAUUGCAUUUAUUCUUAUGACUAACACAGUGAUCUCCAAGUCUUCACUCUAAGAGCCUUGUUAUUUCAGGUGUGAUCAUGAAAGCCCACAGAUAUCAGACCCAGAUGGAUCUCUGCACUCUUCAUGGGACUUGGGCUCCAUAGUUUCUUCUGAGCCAGACUGAACUACAAAGUCCUUCAUACAUUCAGUAUGGAGAGUAUGUCCAACUGCCUGGAUAGGAACUUAAUGAUGGAAAACUUACCCAUGCUGCAUCGUUGCUGUCAAAUAUUUAGCUACUGUGAAAAUACUGUGGAUGAUGGUGUUGAACGCAUUAAUGGCAAAUACAUCAGUAUUUCUGUAAUAGCUCUCAUUAAAUCAAAGCAUAGUCUAAGGGAAUAAAAAGCUGUCAGAAAA